UUUCGAAUCAUUCACAAUGGGCGAAAGCCUGAUGGUGCGACGCCGCGUGAGGGAUGAAGGUCUUCGGAUUGUAAACCUCUGUCACUGGGGAAGAAACGCUUCACGAUAACAGCGUGAAGCCUGACUUAACCCGGAGAGGAAGCAGUGGCUAACUCUGUGCCAGCAGCCGCGGUAAUACAGAGACUGCAAGCGUUAUUCGGAUUCACUGGGCGUAAAGGGUGCGCAGGCGGCCGUGUGUGUGAGGCGUGAAAGCCCGGAGCUCAACUCCGGAAUUGCACCUCAAACUACACGGCUAGAGCAUUGGAGAGGGUAGCAGAAUUCACGGUGUAGCAGUGAAAUGCGUAGAUAUCGUGAGGAAUACCAGAGGCGAAGGCGGCUACCUGGACAAUUGCUGACGCUCAGGCACGAAAGCGUGGGGAGCAAAAGGGAUUAGAUACCCCUGUAGUCC
RNAcentral lists this ribosomal RNA (448 nucleotides) under uncultured bacterium. RNAcentral describes it as "bacterial SSU rRNA". It matches the Rfam family "Bacterial small subunit ribosomal RNA", at positions 355 to 796 of the family's 1533-position model. The record is from RNAcentral.